This 647-nucleotide ribosomal RNA is filed under the name uncultured candidate division MSBL6 bacterium. RNAcentral's name for it is "bacterial SSU rRNA". It matches the Rfam family "Bacterial small subunit ribosomal RNA", at positions 504 to 1141 of the family's 1533-position model. The record is from RNAcentral.
CGUGCCAGCAGCCGCGGUAAUACGAAGGAUGCAAGCGUUAUCCGGAAUUACUGGGCGUAAAGGGCGUCUAGGCGGUUGAGCAAGUCACCUGUAAAAGUCCACGGCUUAACUGUGGAAUGUCUGGUGAUACUGUUUGACUUGAGUACAGGAGAGGAGGGUGGAACUCACAGAGUAGCGGUGGAAUGCGUAGAUACUGUGAGGUACCCCGAUGGCGAAGGCAACCCUCUGGCCUGUUACCGACGCUGAAGCGCGAAAGCGUGGGGAGCGAACGGGAUUAGAUACCCCCGUAGUCCACGCCGCAAACGAUGUUCACUGGGUGUCGGUCAUUAAUUACAUCUUUGCCGGAGUUAACGCAUUAAGUGAACCGCCUGGGGACUACGGCCGCAAGGCUAAUACUCAUAAGAAUUGACGGGGCCCUGCACAACCGGUGGAGCACGUGGUUUAAUUCGAUGAUAAGCGAAGAACCUUACCUGGGCUUGACAUGCUAGCAGUAGGAGCCAGAGAUGGUAACGACCCCUACUUUUGGUAGGGGAACUAGUACAGGUGAUGCAUGGCUGUCGUCACCUCGAGUCGUGGGACGUUGGGUUAAGUCCCGAAACGAGCGCAACCCCUGUUGUUAAUUGCCAGCGGGUAAUGCCGGGGACUCU